Molecule: long non-coding RNA, 425 nt
Filed under: Canis lupus familiaris (dog)
Lineage: Eukaryota; Metazoa; Chordata; Mammalia; Carnivora; Canidae
Description: lncRNA (ENSCAFG00030003084.1)
Source: RNAcentral
AUGGCACUUAGACCACACUGCUUAAUGGACUCCUGUGAGAGGAAAGGGGUUGGCUCAUCAAGCAAGAUGGUCUCUCUGAAUCAGCAAUCUCCAGUAAAAUUUUCAUACCUGAGUGAUCUGUUCCGGUGUCUGAAGACUCACUCAGUAAAGGAAGAAAAGAAGCUCAUUCUGCCUCAACGUUAGCUUUAUGAGAAGAAUGCUGGAGGUGCACAUCCCAUGUUAAGAUAUUGUAAGGUUUAAUAAAAGUUAAACUAUACAGGUAGUACUGAGAAAAAAAACCAACCCUGCAGUACAUCACUAGAUAGAAUUAAUGGGCUCAGAGAAAAUAAAUAUACUGCAAUCAAAGUGAAAUUAGUUUUUAAUUUAAUCAAAUUUGGUUCUGGAAAUUAUAGAAUUUUUAUUUUUUCUGUCAGAAUACAAAGGGU